GGGUGUGAGGGCAAUCUGACUAUGCUGUCACCUCAUCAAUUGCCAGUGUUGAUUCAGCUGAUCUUGGACACUAGGAGGAUGUCCCCUUCCUCCCUCACCACUUUAUCUGCAUCCUUCCUGAAGUGGCGUGUUCAGUGAAAGAUGACCUUCCACUAUAGAGACCAUUCUUUACCAUUCUUUGGUCAAAAGUAUAUGAAUUGCUGUUCUCCCCUAUAAGAACUAGCUCCCAAGAUUCAUUUGUAGAAGAGCAUAGGGAAGACAAGCUUCCAAGACUUCAGAUAUAUUCAGAUGAGACGCUGUACAUAGCAGUCUGCCUUUCUUU
Molecule: small nuclear RNA, 322 nt
Filed under: Sarcophilus harrisii (Tasmanian devil)
Lineage: Eukaryota; Metazoa; Chordata; Mammalia; Dasyuromorphia; Dasyuridae
Description: 7SK RNA
Rfam family: 7SK RNA
About the family: 7SK was discovered as an abundant small nuclear RNA in the mid-70s but a possible function has only recently been suggested. Two independent studies have found that 7SK RNA binds the CDK9/cyclin T complex (known as elongation factor P-TEFb). P-TEFb activates transcription by phosphorylating the C-terminal domain of RNA polymerase II.
Source: Rfam by way of RNAcentral